Long non-coding RNA from Gallus gallus (chicken), 1627 nucleotides. Lineage: Eukaryota; Metazoa; Chordata; Aves; Galliformes; Phasianidae. The record is from Ensembl.
AUUUUGAGCAUAUUUAUUCCCUUCCUCAUUUUCUUGUGCAGUUCUUCCAAGUUUCAGGGUAUUGCAUAAUUAUUUUGGUCCUUUGAGAAGGACAGGUUGGCUGCUAUUUGAGAUAUAAUACAAACUAAGUAUCCUCAAAGCAUCAUAGGCCCAGAGUGUUUUUAAUGCCUAUCUGGAGGAACUAACUGGGAGGUUGAAGCAGGGGAUUUGCAGACCCACCGUUGCCUGUCCAUCAUGGGGAAGAAGCUAAGAGUCUGUGACAAAUGUGGAGAAUGUGACAGGAUAAUGAAAUUGUGUAAUUAGCCCUGAAGACUGCAAUCACCUCCAACUCCAGUUUAUAAAUCACCUACACCCCACUGUCUCAUGCUGAGGGAGAAAGGAGUUUGUGAGUUGACCUUAUGUUCUGCAGCUGCUCAGCCUCAUUGAUCUCUCUGAAGGCUGCUGGGGUCUUGCUGGAAAAAUCCAGCUACUGUAGACAUAGGCAAAGAGGAUGAAGCACAGCUGUAAAGACCUCACAGCCCCCAUUCAGUAUGAAUGAGUGUUGUUUGAGGAUGACUGCAGACUUUCCCACAAACCUUCAUUAAAGGAGUAAUUUGCAGGAGAGUAUCUAAUCAGAAGAUCUCAGGAAGAAGCUGGGUGUGUCUAUUCAUUCAUAACAGGGGCAACCACAAUAAUGAAAUAAUGAAACACGACAUGCAGUAUGCCACAAUGCGUGAUCACAGGUGCUCUGCUAGACAAGAGUACAGAGGGUGUGUUGCAGCCACCCAGCACUCUGCUGUGCCAAGCUGUCUCUUUGUUGCAUGUCACUCCAAGGAGAGCAAUCUGGAGAAAUAACCUGGUGUUUCCACAUCGGUAUGCUCAUAGGUCCUGUGGGUGUGUUUCCACCUGAAGAUCCUGACACUGCUUCAAGUAACAAAGUUCUGAUCCGUAUUAGCAGCAGCAGCAUGAUGUGGGCCCUGUACUGUGCACAUCCCUCCCCUGUUCUGCACUGAGGCACCAGAGCUGGGAGCGGAGCCUUGCACUUGCUUUGCUGCUGAUUGCACCUGUUAGCAAACUGGUGCAGGAGAAACCCGUUAUGAGCCCUUUUAUAACAAGGCUGCUUUCCUGUCUUCUGAAUCGUUAAUACUUCAGUGAAGAUCACUUGUAAUAUUUCUCACUUCUGAAACAUGUUCUGUCUGGGGAAUCUUGGAACAUUUUACAAACAUUAAUUAAUUAGACUUGCAGCUCCAGUACUUACUAGCUAAUCGUUCACAUUGUUUUCAUUGUUUAUGACUGCUCUAGAUGCUCCAUCUCCCACAUCCAAGAACAACCUAUGGCAGGACACAUGCAGGUAUUGGAUGCGCUAUUGAAAUGCCCAUGCUGCCUAAACCCCAUGUCUGCACUGUGCCAACAGAUUAUGCACUUUAAAUACAUAGGCUAGAUCUAGAACCAAGACAUUUGGGUAAUCAGGGUAAUAUUUGUUUUGUAACAGCUUAAAAAACAAGAACUGAAUGAAUUGGUGGUUAAAUUCAAAUGAUGCUUGUGUUGGAUAGAAGGAGUCUUUGAUAUUUGGAAUUUACAAACUUUUUUUUUUUCCCCAUGAACUUGUGUUGCUUAAAUUCAAACUAUUUUUUUGUUUCGGUUGACU